This is an RNA transcript of Columba livia (rock pigeon), 16500 nucleotides long. RefSeq lists it as uncharacterized. The transcript is spliced from 4 exons. The record is from RefSeq and is a predicted model, not a curated record. Lineage: Eukaryota; Metazoa; Chordata; Aves; Columbiformes; Columbidae.
GCCCAGCAUUAAAUCCCCGCUUGGAGGGCGGUGUGGGGGGGGGGUGCAUUCGGUAUGUCCGGGCGGUGGAUUUGGAGUUUGCUCGGUCGCGGGGGGCGAUCCUACAGAAUAAGUGCACCUGGAGGGUGCCGUAAUUUAGGUGGUUGAUUUGAGCGCACCGUGUUUAAUUAAAUCAGUGAGCUCGCCCGUGCCGGUCGCGGACAGACUGGGUGCGGAGCUGCUCCCUGCCGGUCGCGGCCCCUCCACUGGGGGCUGGGGCCCUCCUCUCCCCCCAGCGCGGCUUUGUGGGGUGCUGAGGAAGAAGUGCAGCUCUUCAGUGGCAGCCUCGGCAGUUUGCUCGGGGUCUCGCUGCACCCUGGGGAGGGAAAAGGGGUGUCUUGAGACGAAACAACAUUUCUCCCUCUUCUAUAACGUCCCACGAGGGCGUCUUUGGCAGGGAGGAGAAGAUAGAGAAUUUCAUCCAAGAAUUCCCAGCUGGAGACAUCUGUUCAGCAGCAAGUCACCUGAUGAACAGCUCUAACCAGCCAAGUGAAAAACAGGAGCUUUGAACACUUCUCCACACCCCAGCACACGGCAGAGUUCAUUAAAUGGCUGGGAAGCAUCAAGAGCCAGCGCUUGCCUGCACUGUCCAAGCAGUGGGUACCCAGCAGAAAGCUGCCUGGGGACCCCCUCUCCUGCCAACCUCUGGAAGGGCUGGAGUGCCCCAGGGACAGUUUAGGUGGGGUGCAGCAGUGCAGCCCCCUGAUCCUUUCUGCAUUUCACCCCAAUGAGUUCUGUGCUGUUGCAGGCAGGAGUGGGACAUCACAGGUGGAGAACACACUAGGAUCUUCCCUUUUUUUUUCUUCCCUUUGGAAUACCUUUAUUAAAUUGUUCAUUUAAUAUUUCAAAAGAAAAAGAGAUUUUUUUUUAACUUGAGAAAAGAGAGGAAAUGUUUUCUGAAAGCUGUAUUUUAAUUGAUCCAGGCUUGGGAGCAGGGAUGCUGAGGGAAGAAUUGCUGUCAUGGAAUUAACUUUAUGAAAGAAAAGCAAAUCUCCACCCUGUUUAAACAUGGGGAAAACAUCACAGAGGCAUCCUGCUGUACCAAAUGGUAAACAUGUCCAUGUAUUAUAUCACUUAUGGCUUCCUUUAGAGUUUUAUGAUGCUGUUCUCAAUUACUGUGUUUGCAUUUGUAAUUAGAGUGCAGAACACAUUGUGAAGGCAAAUUAUAGAGCUAACUUGUCCUUUCAAAAUAACCCAUUUGUUCAGUGUGCUCCCAGAAGCUUCUCUUUAUUCAAGGGACUCCAGUGAAGGACUAACCUCCCCUACUGAAUGUGCUGGAAUAUACAUCUGCUGCAGGGAAGGGCGAGGAAGAGAAACACAUUUUCACCCCAGGGCUUUGCUGUACUUGGGCCUGACCUUUAAACCACUGAAACUCCUGUUGGUUUCUGUAAGCACUAAGUCUGAGCAACUAAUGAAAUUGGGAGGAGGGGAGAAAAAUUAGUUGUGUGGGUUUUUUGUGUGUGUGGUGUUGUUGGUUUUGUUCUGUUUGGGGUUUUCUGUUGUGGUUUGCUUUGUUUUUUGUUUGUUUGUUGGUUGUUUUUGUGUGUGUUGUGGGUUUUUUCCCUCUGACACUGAUUAUCUCUGUGGCCUUGGUCAUGUCACUUGUCCUUUUUGUUCCUCCUUAACUGGCUAAAAAAAAUAUCCUAUGGAAGGGCUUGCACAUUACUGUACAAUCACAUAAAUAUCUAAAUGAAGGUGAAUAUGCACGGCUGAGUUGCCCUCCAGUAUCUUGCUCCUUUGCAGGAAAGCAAUUCUGAAGGCAGCUCUUCAGAGUAUACAUUCAGUCUUUGUCCUGGACUCCCCUUACACAGGGGCUCAUUCUGUAAUUAUUUAGGUGUAACAAUGAGAUGGCUUGGUGCCAUGUUGCCAUAAGUGCUCUACCAAAUCUCCGUGCAAAGUCACCAGAGCUCUCUGCCUCUUGGCUUUGCUGGGUGUCCAGCGGUGUCUCACUGAGCAACUUCUGACCAGCUGCAGCACAUGUGAUGCCCUUUUGUUGUGCUCUGGCUAUUGAGUGUCAUCAGCGGAGAUCUGAUCUUCCUUUAAGGCAGGUCGAUUUUAUGUACAGAAGACUGGAGCCAAGGGCAGCUGUGCACUUUGCCUUGGAAUUCAGCAGGGAAAAAACUGCAUCCAAGUGUGAACUUGGAUCCAAUAACACUCUACUUAGAGUGAAAAGCAAGCAAAGUCUCCAGUUUUUACUGUUCUGCCUUGUCUGCAAAGGAAUUCUGCAUUUGGGUUUGGUGGGUUUUUUUGUUUUUGUUAUUUCAAAACCUGCACUAAGCAGGAGGACUUUACUUUGAACAGGUUUCCCUGCGAGUGGAAAUGGCAUUUUCAUCUCCUGUGCCUUAGUUGGGAAGGCACAGGAAAGUGCCCUGCAGCACGUAGCUCUCCCAUCAGCAUGUCCUCCCCAUUCCUGGCCAUGAGAAGUUGCCUUGGCUUUGCUCUCCAGCCAACAUUCAGGAAAAUAUCAAGCUCAGUGCCUGACCCCUUCCUAACACACUGCUCAGGGGUGUCCUCGGCUCAUUCUCCAAGGCACCAUGAAACCAGGCCAAAAUCAAAUAAAAGGCUGUGUUCUCCCAGGGUGGCAGUAUUUGGAGGAUAAGAAACCCCAAAUGAACCCUCAAAUAUUGCAUUAUAAGAUAAUUAAGAGCUCUUUUUUUAAACAUUUUUAUUUCUUUUUCGUCACUUGGCCCACUGUGAAGUGAUUUGUACAACUUUUAUUCCUGCCACAGGUUAUUCCUCAUUUUGUUUCUAAUACAGCUGCUUUGACAGUUCACCAUAGCAUUGGCUCUCUCCUUGCCCACGCUCUUGCAUGGGCCAGGAAAGUUGGUUCCCUGGGCCCAACUUUCUGUCAGGUGCUUGUUCCUUCUGAGCAAAGGUUAAGUCAUCUUCUGAUGAUUCAUUGGAAAAACUGGUUUUAUUACUUUCUCUGGGUAUGGGAGAAUUUCCUUAAAGAAAGAAGCUACAGCACAUGGGAUGACCAUCCCAAAGAGAAGAACUGCCAAGGGGGUUUGCCAUAAAUUAUGGGUUCAUCUUGAUUACCAGUAUCAAUUUUUUUCAUUUAAUGGCAUUAAGUCCAAGAAAGUGCCUAGAAGAACGAGUUGGAGCUUUAUAAAUUGUGGGAUUAUCUGUGAAGUGGUUUAGGAAGGACAUUUUCUGCUGUUUGCUUGAGAGAAGAGGAGGUCCCAGUGUGGCAUUCCGUAAUACCAGAUGCACCCCAUUUUCCAUAGCUGUGUGUUUAAAAUAUGGCCAGGGUUCACUGAACAAUGUCAAAACACGUCUGCAAGGCUGACCAGGGAAUGAAAUACAGCAAGCUCAGUUUUGUUGAGGGAACAAAAGAGAGAAAGGCAUUUGUCAUCCAGAGGAUCAAAUUUGAGAAACACCUACUGUUGUUUCCCUAGCUGGGAUUUAAAACAUAUACGUCAUCACCCUGUCCUUGUUGCCAGUAAUGUUUGCUUUGCUCUGCCACCACGCUGCUCAGGCAGCCAAACGUGCCCCAUGGUUCUUCCCUCUGUUUCCAACCCGAGGAGCUUCGGCUCCAGCACCUCGGUCCAGGGAACCCAGCAGGCUGCCAGCAUCCUACCUGCCACCAAGGACACAUCCAGGCCACCAAAAAAUAAGCAGGUGUGAGAUGCAAUACAGUGCUGUUUGUUUUUCUGGAAGGUCAAUAAUUUUGCUAAAACUUCAGCUUCCCAUUCUUUUAAUUUUUGGUGGAAGCCUGUUUCAGCAGUUGGAGUAAGAAAACAUCCUCCAUGUAAUACGCGGAAGACUUCUUUGAAUAAAUGUAUUUCAAAAUGAAAGACAAAUGAAAUAGCACAGAGGAAAAAUUCACAUUCAUGUUAGAUUCCACAAAGUGAUUUUGUAACACCUACAGUGCAGUACCCAUGUUUUCUGACAGUGCUCACAACAACAGUAGCAUACAAGCAUAUAAAAAAAAUUAAAACCCCUUUACUAGAUGGUAUCCUUGUAGUUUGUGCUAUUUUGAACCUGUCAACUGCUUAAGUAACAGCUUGUCCGUGAUUGCAGCCCGGCUGAAUAUGAGACCUGGUAGUAUGGUUGCAAAUUGUCAAGAGCUGAGUGAUCUCCUGGGUUGUGAUUUAUGACUCCAAGAACAAUGACAAGCAGGGAAAAAAGGCCCUGGUAAUUUCGGAAGCACUUGUGGAAACAACUAGAUCACUUUUUUUAUUAGGUCAUUUAUAGAAUUCUUCCCUUUAAAAAUUAGAUCCUUGAUGAGUGCGUGAAAAAUGCUUUGUCCUGUUUUUCAGCUGAGGGAAAAUCCUGGGCUUUGGAAACGCUGCUGUGCAACAUCUUUAACUUCACACAGGCUGAGGAAGCUGCAGGAGCACACAGGACUUCCCUGAGCUCACCCACCAACCCUGGCCCAUCUGCAGUUGAAGCCCUUUGCAAAGAUUAAUUCCUGCCAAGCCCUUUGCAGGAAUUGUGCUGGUUUUUGAACCAUUUUCUCACUGGUCACUCAUAACUUUCUGCUGGCCUGACCUUUGUCUAUGACACAGCUGCAGGCUCCUUCUCAGCUGCUGGGAACUUUCUAGCACAUGGCACUGGUACAGGCAAAUAAUACUGAUGAUGAAAGCUUGGAACAGAGUUUUCAGAGUGCUGCAGUUUGAAGCUCUUUUAUCCUGGUUUUGGCCCUUCAUUCUAACAGUAGAAUUAUGUAGUUGUCAUAUUUUCACUUUCUUCAGCAGUGGUUUCUCCCUUGUUGGCCAAGGAGCUGAGCAGUAUAAUCGUUAUAAGGAGUUAGUUGAGUUUCUCUAGAAGGGCCCAGUGUCCUGCUCUACCACCCUCCUGAGCUUGGGAACAGAUCUCAGAGUUUGUUAGCGGGCUAAUGAGAGACAGCUGAUAUCUCUGAAAACACACAUUUAACCAAAAUCUCGCCCUUCCCUUGUUUGCUUUCUUGGAAGUUGCCAGUCAGUGUUCCCAUAUUGUUCUGUCCCAAUGAUACAGUCACAGCAUUGUCAUUUCUGAAUAGUCUUUCAGAGAAACUGGUUCAAAAAGGGACCGAAGCCACUCGGCACCGUGGGAGUUCCCCGGGGUCCCAGCACAGAUUCAAGCUCUUGGGAUGGGUCUUGACUUAUUUUGCACCAUCACUAAGUCCAUUAUAAUGGGGAUUUCUGCUAUGAAAAAUAAUGAAAGAUCAACCUGGGAAAUGAGCUCUUGCUGCAGAAAUCCCCAUUUCCUUCCUUCUCUUUCCUUUAAAGAGGAGAAGGGAGAUCUCUGCAUUUCCACAGCACCGUGUUUGAGGGAUGAGGAAAAGACCUGUGCUGUGCCAUAUUCUCUAGCCCAAUGAGAAUCAAACUCUCUCUCAGCUUUGAGUUUUAUUAUUCUCUUGCAAAACCCUCUUCUGUUAUGCUAUGCACCAACAAAAAUCCCUUUUAUUGCCAUUAAAAAGGCAGCUGAGAUGCCCUUUUUAAUUACUAUUAUCUGUACAGAACCCAGCAGAUAAAAAUGGGCCCCAGAUAAAAGGUGUGUCCUUUCUAGUAAAGCACAAAAAAAUCUUAAUCUUUAGUCCAGAAGCAGUAGAUUGCCACAAACAGUCAGCAGCAAAAAUCAUUAAUCUUUGCUGCUUGCCCAACUGGUACUAGUAGUAAAGAAGAUAAUACACUAGCAGAAUCAGUGACCCACUACAAAUUGGUCCUGAAAGGUCCACCAGCCUAAAUAGACUUUUGCUGAUCCAACACUUGUUAGGAAUCCCAACAAAGAGACUAUUGGCUCAUCUGAUGAGCCGCUCACUAUUGGGCCUUUUGCAAUGGCUGGUGAUGGAUGACCAUACCCUCUUUGAGGGGGAAGAUGCAGCUCCUCGUAUGGGGCCUUUUCUCAUCUUAAAUUUGUACUCAAUAAAUCACAGGUGCAGAAGAGACAGCAUCAGUUUCAUUACACCUACAUGCUCCAGUAUCAAUCAUGCCAACACAACGGGCUGCGUACAGUUCAUUUCGGGAGACUCUUUCUGUUCCAAUACCAUUUCCAUUCUGUUGUGCUUUAGCAUUCCUAAAGUGUUGAGCCUCCGCAGUGAAGCACUGGGGGAGAAGGGUGGGAUGCACUAUAAUUGUGCUCUUUCAAGGGGAGCCAGGGCUUAGCUCAUAUACUUUGGUUUACGAUCCCUUGCUGUUGUUAAAGGUGAAGUCUUAAAUAGUUCAGUAGAUAACAUCACCUACUCUGAGGUCUCACACAUCACUUUGCUUUUUCUUUGGCUCUUUAGCAGAUACCUUUAGUCUGGGUUGGAACAAUUGCCCUAGAAUGAUCCCGUUUUGUGAUUAUAAUUUCAUUUUUCUAUCAGUUUUAUGAUAUUUGUUUAGAUGAUGCUGUAAUCCUUUACUUAUCCUUACCGAAACCUAACUGUAACAAAGAAACAGUUUCAGGGAGCUUCUUCAGUGCUUUCUCAUUUACAAGAGUUUCUGCCGUGUUCUCUCUGGCUGGUAAAUACCCUGGGACCUUUGAAAGGUAUGUCCGUUACAAUUCACAAUUUAUGAAUGUAUUGCAGAGCUCCCACAUUGUUAUGAUAAUUUCAAUGUCAGCAGUUAAAAUACACUUAAAACGAAGGAAGCUUUAGAGCUUUCAGACUUUAUAUUUUAUGUACAUAAUCAAAUACUUUCAUGGCAUUCAAUGCGUGUCUAAUGCUCAUCACAGAAACUAUGAACUAUUUUUUUCAAGUAUAAUAAAAGGUAAUAGAUUGUUAUUCCCCGUGUGUGUCCAAAAUCCACUUUGCCAUCUUUAAACAGUGAGAGUAAUUUCUUAGUGUCCAAUUAUACUCCGAUUUGCAUAGGAGAAACUAUGUUUCGUGCAAUUAAGUUAUCACAAAGUCCUGUCAUUCUGUAGCAUUCUGUUAAUCUUUAACUCAACGAAAAGCCAUGUCAGCAAAGCACCAACACAGAAAAGAUGGGUGUUCAAAGGAACUGCAAUAGGAGCACAUUCAGGACUGUCAGACAGAACAAGCUUUUCAAAAGGACACUUCCAUUCAGUUUAAACCUACAAGGGUGUUGGGCUGACACCUCCAUUUAUUUGCUGUAGGGCUAUAAGGAGAGAAAGAGAGAGACUUUCAGUCUUAUUAAAGCAGUAUUUGGAAUACAAAAAAAGGGAUUCUUUUCCUCUGCUCCCUUUACUCUGUCUCAGCUGCAGAUCAUAAAGCAUGGACAGCAUUAAUGCAAGACAAGAAAGUAUUGGUUCUAAUGUGCAGCUGAAAGACUUGAUUUUCUGCAAACUAGCUACUAAAAGGGAAUGUGUUUUUAAAAUGUAGUUAAGAGUACCGAAGUCCAAGUAAAUAGCAUCUUUCUGCCACAUAGUUUUGCGGAUGUCUGGUCCAUGAAGUAAAAGCAGGUUGUGGCUAACAACCCCAGUAUGGUUCAGGGAUUAUUCUGGUCAGGUACUUGCAGCAGGUUCGGUUUUACAAGAUUAAAAUGGUAAUUGAUCUUUGAGAGAACAUUGGAGGACAAAACAUGAUUAUGCUCGUAACAGAUCCUUAGCUGGUGUAAAUUGACAUAAGACAUAAGCAGUGGAGAGAGCCCAGCUGCAUCUCUGACCCUGUCUGCUCUCAACAUACUGGGCACACAAUGAUAUUCAAAGGUGUGAAUGUAACAGGUAAAAAUUUGCAGGCUGGUUAUUUCUGCAUGAUUUCUGAAGCUUCUGUAAACACAGCCCAAGCGGGUUCUUCCUACGAACAUUGUCAUUACUUUCACUGAAAUCUGGCACUUAUCUUUCACAUUUUGUCUGGGGAUCUUUACUUCUGUGAAUAUGCAUUAUCUAAUAUUCAUUCACUGGGUCAGUUUGUAGAAAAUGUUUCACUUUCAAGGUUGCUUCUGAAUUUUCAUAUUUUUCAUUUUUCAUCUCAAUUAAAACCAAACCAGGCUGUGAGUCCCCUUUGUAGUUCUUUUAUCAUACUACUAACUCUGUGUAUUUUUUCACCUAUAUACAAUAAAAAUGUCUUUUAAGUAUAUAUAAAUAUAAUAUACACACGUCAGUGACUUUUUUUUAGGACUACUGUCCAAAGAAACUUUUCUUGUCUUUGCACUGUGCUACAAAACCCAGUUUUAAGUCAAAAGAAACUGUAAAGAACUCUUUGUUAUCUUCAUUUUGGCCUUAAUCUAUAAUGAAUAUUAAUAGCCCUUGUAAGGUGAGGUAUAGAUUAAAAGCAUUAAAACAGAGCUUGGAUGUUUUCAAAGGUUGCAUGCUGGGUAACAUUUCUGAAAGUGCCAAAGGGCCAGAUUUGUUAGUGCCAUUUCAGAAGUGACUUGAGUUCCUCUUUUUAAAGGUGUCUAAAGCUGGGCAAAAGUACAAAUAGGUAUUUCAUGUAAGGUUCAAAAGCACCUUCAUCAUCACCAAUAUAAAAUAAAACUGAGGUGCUUUUACAAAUCCCUUCAGAAACUUGUUUGCAUUGUUAUGGUCUCUAUCUAAAUAGCUUCCAAAAAUGGGACUUCAUCCUUUUCAUGUCUUUGGGAAAUGUGUCCAACAUGCCCAUGGGGAUAGCACAGGCUUUUAGCCCAAGGGGAAGUCCAGGUGAUAGAUUUUGUGUGGAAAACCCAAAUAGGCCAUUCAAACAGGGUUGAACUCUGUUCCUGCCACAGUCAGUGACACAAGUGCCACGGAUGAUCAGUGACUUUGUUCCAGGUCUACUGGGACUUUAAGCUUUGCAUCUGCAGCUGAAUACUAAUAACCACAUCAAUAGCAGGAAGCUUUCUCCCACGGACACCACUGUAAGCACAAAUCUGGCAAGAUGUCAACUGAUUUGGCAGAUGAGGGCUUUAUUGCUGCUGGUGGAAAGUUCAGGGCCUGAUUGAACCUCGUAUGUAACACUGGGCUGCACCCCAGCCUUUCUGGACAGGGUUUUUCAGCUUGCACAGGCUGCUGGGCUCAGAUGUGUCAUUGCACACAUGCGCCUGUGAGGACACAUGGACCUUGUGUGGUUUCUACCAGGUGCUUGUAGUCACAACUGCCACCCUGAAACAGCUCCCAGAAGACUCUUAACCCAUGAAACUGGUGAUGCAUUGCAUGGCUUCUGCAGCCCAAACCCGAAUUUGCUCAGUGAACUUGCAGGUGUUGCUACCGAUGGGCAAGGGGUUGAGAAGGAAGUGCUGGUAUUUUUGGCAGCGUGUGUUGUAAAUUCAGGUGGGACUAAUUACACCCCAUCAAUAUCAAAGAGGUGUGACUGACCACCAUGUUAAAGAACAUGUACAAGAAAGUGAUUGUUUUGGGAGACCAAUUUAAAACAUCUGAGGAUAACUUUGAAAAAUACUGCUCUUGAGUAGUAAGAAAGUUUGUCUUUACUGGAGAGAGUUUUGUGAAAUACUUUGCUUGUGUUGGUCAGCAGGCAAAGAGCUGGAUUAAAGGGCUGAAGUAGAAUCUUAAUCCACCUCUUGGAGAAACCAAUGGGGCCCAGACUGCUCUCAGGUAGUCAGGAGCCAUGAAAAUAAUUCUGGAAAAUGUUCUCAUAACCUGAUAAAAGAGCUGAUUUAAUAAAAUUAUUACAUUGUCAGUUUAUGAUUUUACUUCGAAGUCUUUUGGCCUAGUUCAGGUUAAAAAAAAAAUCACCAGCUUUAGUUCUUAUGCAGAAAAAAGACCCCAUCAUUUAUUAGAUGAAUGAAGAUAUCAAUUUCUGUUUAAACAUUAACAGGGUGAUGCCAAAUAUUAGUCAGUUCCUAAUAAUUUUGAGGGAUUAAAAAGAUAAUAAAAGUAAUAGUCCAUUACAUUACCUACUUCAGCAAGAUUGUAAUGAAUGUAAUAAAUUCCAGAUCAGGGUUAUAACAACUUCCAUCUAUUUAAAAUGAAUUUGUAGGGUUACUUUCAUUAACUAUGUAUAUGGAGAAAAUGAUCUGACAUAUUACUUUAAAAGAGCUGUAAAACCGAUUAGAAGGAAAUAUGCUUCCCAGACAGUGAUCUGGGCCACUGGGGAAAUUUUAUCGUUGGGAAGAAGUGGGGAAAAAGGAAGGGAAGAGGAAGGUAUCUUAGGGGAUGCUAUUGCAUCAUGUCUUUGAUGUGGCCCCGAAGCCAUUUUGCUCCUUGGGAGAGAUUCCGGCAGUAACAACAGUCAGAGACCGGGAAAGGGAUGAAAGUCACUGUCUCUCCCGGCUUUCCUAUUCCCUCCACCUCCUUCCUCGGAAAAGGACAGAUCUGUUAAUGAAUAACGGGCUCCUGCGCUGGGGAUUUGUGCAUGGAAAUGAAACUGCGCCUGGUUCUGGUCCGGCCUUUCAGCUGCCCAGGGGAAGGCUGAGGCAUUAAAGGGGACGGUGGCCUCAUUGCUCGGAGGAGACAAGGGACCUAGCACUUGACUGCACUACAGAAAUUACUGCUGCACCUAGAAUGCAGCCUUCAUUUAUCAAUUUCAUAGCAAGGGGAAAAGGGAAAGGGAGGGGGGAAACCCAACAUCUGACUGCCUUUUGCAGCUCACGCUACAUCAAGCCGCCGAGAGCCCUCCAAAUCCAGUCAUGUGUGUUAUAAAGAGUCUUGGAUAAAGUAACUUAAUACUAAUGAUUUAUACUUAAUUGGGCCUCUAAGUGAUUAAAGUGGCAGUAAUGAAUGAGUAACAUCCUUCUAAUUCCCUUUUUCCAUUUGGCUUGGGCUGAAGGCCCUUUCUUUGUGCAGGAUUUGACUUGGGGGUAAGCAAUGCCAGUGUUUUUUAAGCUUUUAGUAGUACAUCUGGAAUGAGCCGCUCGGAUCAUGUUUACAAUAAAUGACUCCGUAAGAGUGCUACCAGGGCAUUGAUUUCUUUCUUGCUUGCUUUCUUGCUUUCUUUUGCUUUCUUGCUUUCUUUUAUUGGAUUAGCCAAUUGUAAGGUUAAUGAAUAUGCAUUUGGCAACCCAUGUUUGCGAGGCCAAGUCCCACAUGGGCAUCAAAGGGUUCAAAAUGCCCGAGCGUAAAUAUCAGCUUUGUCAAAAUAUUGAUUAAGAGCAACACAGAGCCCUCUCCCCUUGCACUAACAUGCACAAUGAUAAAACUGCUUUACGUAUUUUUUUUUACUUAUUUUAUAGGACUUAAUAUUGCCAAUUAAUUGACUGAAUCAGCUGAGAUUUUCUAACUCUGUACUUCAGUGUUCUUUCCCUGCUUUUUCAAUCUAAAAAUGAUCAUUAUCCUCCUUUUAAAAAAAUAGUUCAUUAUAUAAAUGGAGGCUUCAACACUCACAUUAUGUAACUUUUUAAAUUGAAAUGGAGAUCCAGAACCUCAUGUGUUUCACUUGAUAUUGGUAAAGGGAAUGUUACACAGUUUGAAGAAGGUUUGAAGUCAGAAAGAGAUGUGUGGAGCACUGCAGAUCCAGCUCAUCCCUUGCAGCUGGGGCAGCUCUGAGGUGGGGGAACAGGAGAGGAGAAAUUCAUUGUUUAUAGCACUAGGCUAAAUUGGCAGUUACUUAAUGUUAACUUGGGUAUGCUUACCCACGCGCCCAAAUUAUACCUCUUGCUGGAAUGCAGAUAGGAGUGCACCACAUAUACUGUACGGUAAUAUUUGGUUUGUGACAGCAAAACUGCUAUAAUGCAAAUAAAAAACCCAAUAACAAUGCUUAUGCUUCUUUUUAACAACAAAAUAAAGAUCAAUCUAGACAAUCCCUUCAGCUCUCUUUCAAUGUAUGCUUUCUUAUGUGACUAUGGUAGAUUCCGAACCACCUGGUUUUAAUGUAGUAGGAGAUGAUGUAUUAAACAAAUUCAGGAAGAAGACACCAAAAAGACAUUAUUUGGGAUUUGAUGGGGGUUUUUUGUGUGUGUUUUGGGGAUUUUUUUUGGUUAGUUGGUUGGUUGGUUGGUUCGAGGUUUUUUUCCUCCACCUCUGAUUCAGGAAUAUUUGAUGGUGAGAAAGCUUUAUGAAAUAGCUUUGAUUUCAUCAGAUACUGUCAGAGACGAGGGAUAUUCAGCAAGCGUGAAUACUCCCUCACCUGAUUCUGAGGGCAGAUUGCUAUCGAAGGCUGGCUGCCGUCAUGGGUAAUAAAACUGUACCGUGGGUGUUGAUAGAAACUGGCUAAUUAAUAGACCAUUACUGUGCUGUCAUUGACUUACAUUAGAACCCUUUGAGACUAGUUAUGCUGGCAAAAAUCUGGAGGAAAUCUCAGAAUCUGGUGAAACUUGGAUUUAAUGAGACUCUCUGACCUGGAUUUCUCCUCCCUUCUUUUCUCAAGAUCUCAGAGUCACCUUGACAAACUGGAGUGUGUGUGGGGAGAAAUGGUUUGAUGCAUUGGGUUUUCUCAGUCUUGCGGUUCCAGCAAGGGGUAAUCUCAGUUAAACAUCUUUUGGGAUGGUGCAGCAAUGAUUCAGGAGAAGGCUGACAAGGACAUUAUCAGGGAGUAGCAGGGAAGGGAGAGGUAUUAUCCAGAGAUACAGAAAAUGCCUGGUCAGGAAUACAAGAAAUGAGAAAAAGCGAAGAGUGAAAGAAAGAGAAGUAACAACAGCAUUUAACCCAGGGAGAAAUUGUCAAAGUGAUUUCUGCAGCAGUGGGAAGGAGAAAUUGUGAGGAAAAGUCAGAUUUAUGGAGGAGCAGAGAACUUGAGAUUGGAGCCUGUCAAAGGUUGAAGGGGAGUUAGAAAAAGGAAAAAAAAAAUUAAAUAAAGGCAGCAAUUUUGCAUUCCUAUUGCUAGCAAUGAACCAGCUUUUGCACCCUGGAGGCUGGCCAUCUCCACCGAGUGCCUUGGGAACCAACCAAAAGGCUGUGUCCAGCUGCAGUAGCCAGGGCAGACAAGCAGGGUUUGGUUUCCAGCACCAAAUUUUGGCUGCUGUGAACACAGCUGAGUUAUGCAUCAAACAUUUGCAUCGUCUGUGGAGAGUGAUGGCAGGGCAGCACACAGCCUGGCAGACAGAUCUGCCCGUCUCUCUCCUGCAAAGCUAUUUCUGCUCAGUCCCUUUGCACAAAGCAACACUAUCUCCAGAAGGAAAGAUGUGAAAAUGUGACCUGUUGGGAUCCUGGGAGAUGCUUCUCCUCUAGAUCCCCCUGACCAAAGUGCAUCAAACCAUCUUAAAAUAAAAGAAAAACUGAAUGCACAUCUCCACUCCCUGAUAAUCCAUCCAAACUCUUCUGAAGAGCCUCAUUCAUGGCACAGAGUUCUCAGGGGGACUUGCUGUCUUCAAGGACUAGUUAGCUGUACAAACAUACCAUUUGCUUUUGCAUCUCUUUGAACUAUCCUCAAAACACAGGCAUAAUAAUUGGAUACCCUUACUCUGCUGGCCUGCACGGCAUGGGUCAUAUAUGUAAACAUCAAACUCAAAUAACAACCCCCAAAUUUAAUUUCUUUCUACCUAAACAAGUUCUUUUAUCAUAAAGCAAUAAAUUUGUCUUGGUGCUAGCAAUUUGUUGCGGGUGACAUAACACCGCAAAUUGAUUAAUCGCUACUGUACACGACAAAAUGAGAAAAGCAAGGAAUUAUUAUGAAUAGCGUCCAUCUGAUACAGUAGGGAUUCAUUAUUCAAAAGUGUUAGCUAGUGGUUAGCUAUCCCCUUGUUGCAGAUUACAUUCAUUUGCAGAAUCCUACAUCAUGCUUACACAAAUCAACAAACAUGCAUUUAUUAAGACAUGGAAUGAAAGCUAUUAAAAUGUGAAAAAUUGCCUUUUUCUUUAAAAAAAAUGAGUCAAAUUUGGUGGUAGCUUUUUUUUUUUUUUUUUUUUGGUGGGGGAUGUUUCUAUGUGGCUGAAGCAAAGAAGCUUUUUACAUGAUUUCUGUGUUUGCAUCCAGAACCAGUCACAUCAAACUAAGUCCAUUGAUACUAGUUGUUAGUAUCUUACAGUGAUUCUUUGUAUUGCAGGUUGGAGGACCUGGCACACCAGAAGUGUUGGGCUGAAAUUAUAAAUGUAGUAAAAUAGGCUCUUUUUGCAUUUUCAAGCUGAUUUUAAUUUUUAGCAUUAUAUAUGUACCGACAGAUUGCAAUCAUGCCUGAGGAACUUGUUCUGCUUGAGGCGAAGUACAAAAGGGUCAAUAAAAGAAGAUAAAGUACAAAAGCAGUAUUUAGGUCCAAGAAGAUCCAUGUUUCCCAGGUUGAACACAGGACCUUGUGUUAAAUGUGAAAUUAUUCUGAAAAAAAUAAAUUUCAGAUGCAAACUGCAGAAAAAGCAUGACCCAGACCCCUUUGUUGUAUAGCGGUCUUGAUAUCUGAGGAUCACCAACCUCUUCUGAGACCAGGAGCAAGGUUUUGUGUGUCCAUCUCUAUUGCACAAGAGUGAUGUAUCUAAGCUUGUCAUCACUGUCAGGCAAUUCGUGUUCUCCGUGUAAGCAGGUCUCGCCACAAUAACACAGGGAAAAGAUUGGUUUAACUUUUGAGGAAGGGCAUGAAGCAAAUAUAUUCUUUUCUUCUGUUCCCGUUUCAGGAGCUCUUGCACUCCCGCUUUGUGAUGCUUCUACAGAUAAUAGGAUUAAGGGCAUCAAACAGCGAACCUUCCCUGCCUCCUCCCCUCCCUCUGCACCUCCUGUUGGUGUAAAGUGCUUUUCCUUCUCUUUGGAAAAUUGCUUCCAUCAUGCGUUGCUUGCGGAAAGAAACACACUAACUGUGGAAGCAGCAGUUCAGCAACCGCUCAGUCUUUGAACUCAGGUCUCUUGUCUUUUAGUUCUGCUCUGAAAUGCCAGAUGCUAAAUUGUUUUAAUGGCUACUUGCAAUGAAUCAUCUCUAAAAUAUCACCGACAGGGGAUUUUUUAAAUGUUGCUAGAGUUUGAAAGUGAGGUUAGUCACUUCACUUGGAUGUUCUGUAUAAGAAAAGAAAAUGGUACUGAAAAAAUGAAAACAAGCAUGUAAAACAGGGGUGUUAGGUCCAUGGUACAUAAUAUUAGUGCAUUCUGAUAUUGAUUAUUGGUUACUCUUUUAGGUCUAGUUUCAUUAACAUGUUGUUAUUAGACUAGUUAAGAUACCUAUGAGGCGUUAACAUGAGUCUUAUGCUGAGAAAAAUAUCCCCAAGCCUGUUUCUCAGCUCCCCUGAGCAAUGUGGGCCCUGAGACAGCAAAAGUGCUUUGUGCUGUGGAUGGCUUCUCCUUGUUUGAGUCCACUGAAGCCGUGUAGACCUCAGUAACCAUUUAUUUGCACAUCAGAAUCACUAAAACCAGAUCACUUCCCAGCCAGGACUGGAACCAGGGCCGACCCUCCUUGUUUUGAUGCUGCUGCCAAUCUGGCUUGUGUUUCUAAAAAGGAUGCUGCUGUUUUAUCCUGGUGCACUCACAACAGUCAGCCAUGCCAAUCUGUCCUUUCCAGACUGUUUUAGGUGCUCUCAUUUCAUGGGUACUGGCUGACUCAUUUAAAACAAGAAGGCAGCGUGCUGCGUGGUGUAACUCAGCUCUGCCUGGUGAGCAGAGUGGUGAUGCUCACCAGAACACCUUCCUCUGCACCCGCCAUCAUUAGAACACAGAAAGGAAAAAGAAAAGCUUUUGAGUGAUGACCCAUGAGAAGAAACAUGGGAACCUCUUCACACCAGCCCUGCCCAAGCUGCCCCUUUAAACAUGCCUGGUGCAGCCAGUGGAAGGUGGCAGGGACAUGGUGGGAUAGGUCCACAGUGACACUGGGAGGUCCAGUUCUCCCCCAGGUGACACACGGAUGGACAUCAGACCCUGCUGAGGACCUGAGGCUUGUAUUCUGAAGGACAACAGUGGCAAACCUGGUUACAGCUGUAAUCCAAAUCCCAGGGGAAAUCCUGACCUCCCUGGUGGUUAAAUGGGAUUGUGAGGUUCUGACUGGCCUGACAAGUGUUUAGGAGGAAAGAAGACAGGAUAUUUUGCUUAUCCCUUCAGGAGCAGCUACAGUACAAAAUAAUUGGCACUGAAUUCCGGAUCAGUUAUGUUUCUAAUCUAAUUCUGGACUCAGACUUGACUCAGCAAAGAGGUUUAAGCACUUCUAAGGUGCCGUCAAAUCACUGUUCUAUCUAGAACUGCAACAGAGUCAAUUCCUGCAGCAAAUUAGCUCUUGGCCAUUCAUCUCUGUGCUAGGUAAGCCAUUUCCAUCAGCCACCUACAGUUUUGAUGAGAGGAAUGAAGGGAAGAAAAAGAAAGAUUUCUGUCUGGGCAGUCCUUCUUUACCCUGGGAGUAUUUCUGUGCUGCUGUGCAGAGAAAAGUUAAUCUUUCUUGACGGCUGAUGCAUGUGGAUAGUACUUCAUGUAUUUGAUACUGAAUGCUUGCUAUAGCUCAGUGAUCCCAUAUAAACACUGCAGAAGCAGAGGGGACCCUGUGAGAGGAAAAGAUCUGUCUUAAAUCUCUGUGUCUGUCACAUCACAAAAUCCUUCUGUAAUGACAUGCAAACUUCAGAGAGGCUGCAGCAUCUCUGUCUUGUCAGGGAGACACUUGGCUGUUAAUGACUAACUUCCCAGUGACAGCAUUUCUUUUUGUAGCUUGCUUCCCCUUGGAUUUUUGCAAAGACGUCCACAAAAUAAAUAGAAAACUAAAAGCAAUCCAUCAAGGGCAGGUGACUUGUGUAGGUGGAGAGCAGGAAUCUGCACCCAAAUCAAUUGGACCAAUUUGGGAUUUUUUUUUUUUUUUCAAACGUGGCAGCAUAUUCCUUCCUUCCUUCCUUCCU